GCCAGAGUAAACUAUGAAAGCUGAGACUCCCCCUCAGAAGAGCCAUCAUGCCCUCUCCCUGCCAGAGUAAACUGUAAAAGCUGACUCCUCCUCAGAAGAGCCAGGUGAAACUGCAGACUGAGACCAGGUAGCUCCAGUGAAAGUCACUGGUUCACCGAGUUGAACUUUGCUGGUACCAGUCCUUUGGUCUGUUGUGAGUUUCCAUCUGGGGCUAAGAAGAUCCUUGGGCUUAGCUGAACUGGUUCGGAGGGGCUGCAGAGAUGGCUCAGUGGUUAAGAGCACUGACUGCUCUUCCAGAGGACCUGAAUUCAAUUCCCAGCACCCACACGGCAGCUUACAACUAUCUGUGAAGAUCUGACACCCUCACACAUGCUGGCUACAUACCAAU
Meriones unguiculatus (Mongolian gerbil) is the source of this 388-nucleotide long non-coding RNA. RefSeq lists it as uncharacterized. The record is from RefSeq and is a predicted model, not a curated record. The transcript is spliced from 4 exons. Lineage: Eukaryota; Metazoa; Chordata; Mammalia; Rodentia; Muridae.